RNAcentral lists this ribosomal RNA (446 nucleotides) under uncultured bacterium. RNAcentral describes it as "bacterial SSU rRNA". It matches the Rfam family "Bacterial small subunit ribosomal RNA", at positions 330 to 793 of the family's 1533-position model. The record is from RNAcentral.
CCCAGACUCCUACGGGAGGCAGCAGUGGGGAAUAUUGCACAAUGGGGGAAACCCUGAUGCAGCGACGCCGCGUGAGUGAAGAAGUAAUUCGUUAUGUAAAGCUCUCUCAGCAGGGAAGAAAAUGACAGUACCUGACCAAGAAGCCCCGGCUAACUACGUGCCAGCAGCCGCGGUAAUACGUAGGGGGCAAGCGUUAUCCGGAUUUACUGGGUGUAAAGGGAGCGUAGACGGUUAUGUAAGUCUGGAGUGAAAGCCCGGGGCCCAACCCCGGGACUGCUUUGGAAACUGUGUAACUGGAGUACAGGAGGGGCAGGCGGAAUUCCUGGUGUAGCGGUGAAAUGCGUAGAUAUCAGGAGGAACACCGGCGGCGAAGGCGGCCUGCUGGACUGAAACUGACGUUGAGGCUCGAAAGCGUGGGGAGCAAACAGGAUUAGAUACCCCUGUAU